Molecule: ribosomal RNA, 493 nt
Filed under: uncultured bacterium
Lineage: Bacteria
Description: partial 16S ribosomal RNA
Rfam family: Bacterial small subunit ribosomal RNA
Source: RNAcentral
AGUGAACGCUGGCGGUAGGCCUAACACAUGCAAGUCGAACGGCAGCACAGUAAGAGCUUGCUCUUACGGGUGGCGAGUGGCGGACGGGUGAGGAAUACAUCGGAAUCUACUUUUUCGUGGGGGAUAACGUAGGGAAACUUACGCUAAUACCGCAUACGACCUACGGGUGAAAGCAGGGGAUCUUCGGACCUUGCGCGAUUGAAUGAGCCGAUGUCGGAUUAGCUAGUUGGCGGGGUAAAGGCCCACCAAGGCGACGAUCCGUAGCUGGUCUGAGAGGAUGAUCAGCCACACUGGAACUGAGACACGGUCCAGACUCCUACGGGAGACAGCAGUGGGGAAUAUUGGACAAUGGGCGCAAGCCUGAUCCAGCCAUACCGCGUGGGUGAAGAAGGCCUUCGGGUUGUAAAGCCCUUUUGUUGGGAAAGAAAAGCAGCAGGUUAAUACCCCGCUGUUCUGACGGUACCCAAAGAAUAAGCACCGGCUAACUUCGUGC